This 264-nucleotide ribosomal RNA is filed under the name uncultured bacterium. RNAcentral describes it as "partial small subunit ribosomal RNA". It matches the Rfam family "Bacterial small subunit ribosomal RNA", at positions 26 to 288 of the family's 1533-position model. The record is from RNAcentral.
AGAACGAACGCUUGCGGCGCGCCUAAUACAUGCAAGUCGAACGAGAAAGGAUCUUCGGAUCCGAGUACAGUGGCGGACGGGUGAGGAACACGUAGAUAAUCUGCCUUAAAGAGGGGAAUAACUACUCGAAAGAGUAGCUAAUACCGCAUAAGACCACAGGAACUUCGGUUCUAGGGGUUAAAGGAGCAAUUCGCUUUAAGAUGAGUCUGCGUCCGAUUAGCUAGUUGGUGAGGUAAUGGCUCACCAAGGCGACGAUCGGUACCU